CCCCUAGUAACUGCGAGUGAAGCGGGAAAAGCUCAAAUUUAAAAUCUGGCGGCCUUCGGUCGUCCGAGUUGUAGUCUGGAGAAGCGUCUUCCGCGCUGGACCGUGUACAAGUCUCUUGGAACAGAGCGUCGUAGAGGGUGAGAAUCCCGUCUUUGACACGGACUACCAGUGCUUUGUGAUGCGCUCUCAAAGAGUCGAGUUGUUUGGGAAUGCAGCUCAAAACGGGUGGUAAAUUCCAUCUAAAGCUAAAUAUUGGCGAGAGACCGAUAGCGAACAAGUACCGUGAGGGAAAGAUGAAAAGCACUUUGGAAAGAGAGUUAAACAGUACGUGAAAUUGCUGAAAGGGAAACGCUUGAAGUCAGUCGCGUCGUCCAGAACUCAACCUGGCUUUUGCUUGGUGCACUUUCUGGUUGACGGGCCAGCAUCAGUUUCGAUCGUCGGACAAAGUCCUUUGGAAUGUGGCACCUUCGGGUGUGUUAUAGCCUUGGGUCGUAUACGAUGGUUGGGACUGAGGACCGCAGCACGCCUUUUGGCCGGGGUUCGCCCACGUACGUGCUUAGGAUGCUGGCGUAAUGGCUUUAAACGACCCGUCUUGAAACACGGACCAAGGAGUCUAACAUAUGUGCGAGUGUUUGGGUGGAAAACCCGAGCGCGUAAUGAAAGUGAAAGUUGGGAUCUCUGUCGCGGAGAGCACCGACGCCCAUACCAGACCUUCUGUGACGGAUAUGCGGUUGAGCAUGUAUGUUGGGACCCGAAAGAUGGUGAACUAUGCCUGAAUAGGGUGAAGCCAGAGGAAACUCUGGUGGAGCUCGUAGCGAUUCUGACGUGCAAAUCGAUCGUCAAAUUUGGGUAUAGGGGCGAAAGACUAAUCGAACCAUCUAGUAGCUGGU
Molecule: ribosomal RNA, 890 nt
Filed under: Aurantiopileus semisupina
Lineage: Eukaryota; Fungi; Basidiomycota; Agaricomycetes; Polyporales; Meruliaceae
Description: Ceriporiopsis semisupina partial large subunit ribosomal RNA
Rfam family: Eukaryotic large subunit ribosomal RNA
Source: RNAcentral